UGGGGGAUAUUGCACAAUGGGGGAAACCCUGAUGCAGCAACGCCGCGUGAGGGAAGACGGUUUUCGGAUUGUAAACCUUUGUCUUUGGUGAAGAAGAAAGUGACGGUAGCCAAGGAGGAAGCCACGGCUAACUACGUGCCAGCAGCCGCGGUAAUACGUAGGUGGCAAGCGUUGUCCGGAAUUACUGGGUGUAAAGGGAGCGCAGGCGGGAGCGCAAGUUGGAUGUGAAAUACCGCAGCUUAACUGCGGAGCUGCAUCCAAAACUGUGUUUCUUGAGUGAAGUAGAGGUAGGCGGAAUUCCGAGUGUAGCGGUGAAAUGCGUAGAUAUUCGGAGGAACACCGGUGGCGAAGGCGGCCUACUGGGCUUUUACUGACGCUGAGGCUCGAAAGUGUGGGGAGCAAACAGG
RNAcentral lists this ribosomal RNA (407 nucleotides) under uncultured bacterium. RNAcentral describes it as "bacterial SSU rRNA". It matches the Rfam family "Bacterial small subunit ribosomal RNA", at positions 355 to 776 of the family's 1533-position model. The record is from RNAcentral.